UUUCCCCAGGGCUUUAGGGAGGAUUUCCUCUGUGUGUGAGGGAGAGAGCCUCGGGGCCCUGCAUUGCUCCAGCCACCCCUCCCUGGGAUGUUGCCGAGGGCAGGGAAAGAGUGUGGAGAGUGACCAGGAGCCAGCCCAGAGCUCCCCAGGCCCCUCUGCAGCUUUGGCCAUGUCUAUUCACAUCUGGCUCCCAUGGCCUUACCCGACACCCUGGCAGUGCCCAGUUCCCUGUGCCAGAAGGGGAUCCCAGCACAACCUGGAAAGUGUUCUCAUCUGUGCUCCGUUCUACAUGAGGUUGCUGGGAAGGCUUCUGCAUUAGCUUGGAUGAAUAAAGUUUUGAAGCCCUUGGAGCCUCCUGCAGAUGUGUCUACAGGGAGGACUUCUCCAGCUCCUACCUUGGAUGCUGCACAAAAGCCCAGCUCCCAUGACAGGGUUCCUCUGUCAGGGAUGAUCCAAGACACAAGAGACAAGAUACCCCAGAAACCAUCCAAACAGAUGAGGCAAGUGCUGAAGGAACCCCUGCAGACAAGAAAAG
Molecule: long non-coding RNA, 535 nt
Organism: Passer domesticus (house sparrow)
Lineage: Eukaryota; Metazoa; Chordata; Aves; Passeriformes; Passeridae
Exons: 3
Source: RefSeq, a predicted model, not a curated record